CUGAGGCUCCUGUUUGUGACAUGGGCUACUCUUUUGAGCUCUAAGAGAAAGAGUCAGGUUUCCAUUACCCAGCCCAUUUCAGACCUGUCUUUCCUCUGCUCCCAAUUCCUAACAGAACUGGAAACCAUGUAGGGAUUGUAGAGGCUAGCAAUCCACAAUGCUCAGCUGAUUAAAGGUUAAAUACCAAAGUUCCCAGAGGAAAACGGUGCUCAGGAGCUUCUGCCUCGGAUGAUGCUGCCCUUAAUGCUCAGCUGAUUACAGACUAAACACAAAAGUUCCCAGAGGAAAAUGGUGGACUUGGGAGCUGCUGCCUCAGGAGGAUCUUGAGUGUUAGUGGUUCCUCCCUAUCAGAUGUACCUAAUGCCCAGGAUUUAAUAAAGGAUCAUUCCCAUUCCACCACCAUCUCCAAACAAAUGUUACUUCUUUCUGUUUGCCAGAUCUUGUUUCUGUCCUUCUUCACGACCAAACUCAAAACUCACUGAACCUUACUUUCCCGGAUGCUGCAGCCCUCAGCUAUGGGCAGAGG
RNAcentral lists this long non-coding RNA (526 nucleotides) under Homo sapiens (human). Its description in RNAcentral is "HSALNT0018595". Lineage: Eukaryota; Metazoa; Chordata; Mammalia; Primates; Hominidae. The record is from RNAcentral.